RNAcentral lists this ribosomal RNA (250 nucleotides) under uncultured prokaryote. RNAcentral's name for it is "partial 16S ribosomal RNA". It matches the Rfam family "Bacterial small subunit ribosomal RNA", at positions 524 to 773 of the family's 1533-position model. The record is from RNAcentral.
UACGGAAGGUCCGGGCGUUAUCCGGAUUUAUUGGGUUUAAAGGGAGCGCAGGCGGGGGAUUAAGCGUGACGUGAAAUGUCCGGGCUCAACCCGGUCACUGCGUCGCGAACUGGUUCCCUUGAGUACGCGGGAAGCCGGCGGAAUUCGUGGUGUAGCGGUGAAAUGCUUAGAUAUCACGAGGAACUCCGAUUGCGCAGGCAGCUGGCUGCUGCGUUACUGACGCUCAUGCUCGAAGGCGCGGGUAUCGAAC